RNAcentral lists this long non-coding RNA (4337 nucleotides) under Erythranthe guttata (spotted monkey flower). RNAcentral's name for it is "long non-coding RNA (EGUT_LNC001664)". Lineage: Eukaryota; Viridiplantae; Streptophyta; Magnoliopsida; Lamiales; Phrymaceae. The record is from RNAcentral.
AAUUGAUGAUUUGUCUCUGCUGAUUUAUCUAUCGUCGUCGUCCAUUGAAGAUCACCACCGCCCACCGGCUCCUCCAGAACCUCCGCCGCCACCAUUUUUGUCUGGAUGAUGGUCCACAGAUAGUUAUCUUUUUUGAUCCCUCAUCUCUUGAUUAAUUUGUUUGAUUUUUAAUUCCAUAUAUAUAUAUAUAUAUAUAUAUAUAUAUAUAUAUAUAUAUAUAUAUAUUAUAGAUGUUAUAUGAUUUGCAUGCUUGGUUCAUCGCGUCCUUGAUCUAAAUUAUUUAUUGCUAUUUACCGAUGAAAGUUAGGUUUUUAUGAAACUAUUAAAAUGAUGAUUUUCGUGUUUUUACUCGUAUUUAGAUUUUCAGAUCUUAAUAACUGAAUUUGGUAAGUAAUUUCGGAUUUGUAUUUACUGAAUGUGAAUUAUAUAUUGUAUCUAACGAUCAAGUGCUAUAGUUUUGGAUGAUAAAUGUGUAAUGCAUUGCCCUUUUAGGAACUUAUGAAACCCAAAAAACAAUAAUUUUUGAUUUGAUGCAUCUUUUGGGGAGUCGAUAUGAGAUCAUGAUUGGGAUGGUUAAAAAUAAGAAUUUAUGCCCGGGAUCUUGUUUGAAUAUUCUAUUUGGAUUUUCCAGUGAAUGCAUGUAAACACGGAACAUUUAUUUUAUCAUCAUCAUUAAAUGUAGAAGGGAUUUUAUCCUUUUAUCGCACUUGCAGCCACAAAUUUGUAACUAGGCACCUAAAUGUUAUUUUUUUUUUAAAUUUACCGAUUUCCUUGUCUUUAAUUACGUAAACGUUUUCUUAUGAAUGAAGUUUACGAAAUCUCACUAUUUGUUUCUUUUUUUGACAGAUAUACGGUAUCGAAAAAAAAUUUAUAAAGUCUAUUCUUGACCAAUCGAUGAAGUUUUGGUAGAGGAGAGUGUCGAGAAAUAUUCUUGCCAGCGGCACAACAAUGGUAAUACAAACUUCCAAUGGCGGAACUAUUAAGGGGCAAGGGGGGGCUGUGGACCCCCCAAGAUUAAAAAAUAAAAAAUAAAAAAUUGGUAUUGUUUUGAAUAUUACUUUUGGCUCCCCUAAAGUUUUUGUAAAUAUGUGUUUUAAUCCUUAAUUUUUUUUGUUUUUUCUAAUAUAUAUAUAUAUAUAUAUAUAUAUAUAUAUAUAUAUAUAUAUAUAUAUAUAAUUAUGAAUAUUAAAAUAAAAUGGUUAAAACUUCUAUUAUUUUAAAUAAAAUUUAUGAAUAUUUACUUAUUUUUGAAUGAUUUUGUAACACCUCGCCCUUCCAAAACCCGAAAACCCUAAAACCCGAGAACAAUACUCCUAACUCAAGAAUCCUUUAGGUAAUAUUAUUACGUGAUAUUAAUUAUGUGUUUUACGUGAAUCUAAUUAUGUGACUUACGUGAAUAAUUGCAUGCGUUAUUUAAUCAUUUGGAAUGUGGCGAUUUCAUUUUUUUGUGAAAUUCGUGAGUAAAUAUACAUGUGUGAAUUAGUAUCAUUUCCGUAAGUUAAAACUCUAGGAAUUUCGUGAAUUUCGUGACUUAUGGGCAUAAUUACAUGUCUUGAUUAUUUGGUGGAUUAUUUUCGAAUUAUGGUAUCUAAUGUGAAAUUAUUAAUAUAGUAUAUUAUAUACGUACAUACAUGCACAUGCAUAUACAUACCUAUACAUGUACUACUACAUGCAAUAUAUAUAUAUAUAUAUAUAUAUAUAUAUAUAUAUAUAUAUAUAUAUAUAUAUAUAUAUAUAUAUGUUUGAGUAUAUGACCGAAGGUGUGUGUAUGAGUGUGUGUCCGGAUUGUGUGUGUGUGUGUGGUGUAUUUAUGCAAGUUGUGUUUACUUUUAAAUAAAAUAAUUAGUAAGUAAGUGUGCAUGUCUUUACACUUGGCACACCCUAAUCAUUUCUAUAAUCCCACACCCAAAGUAACCCAAAAGACACUCUCAUUUCUCCUUCUUCUUCCACAUACACCUAUUGCUUGUCUUCUCCAUUUCUCUCCACCGAAGCAAUCACCACCAUCAUCGGCCUUCUCCUUCUUCCACCUCACCUCUCAUUGUCAAGAAAACCCCAAAAAUAAGAUGAAGGUUCCCUAUUUAACCCUUGCCAUAGACUACUCCAAAAACACCAUCAAAACCACUUGCCUCCUUUCGGUAGAUCACAACUCGUCCCUCCUUGAAGCUCACACCAUCUCAUUCACAAUCAAGGUAGCUUGGUUAGAUUUUGGUGCUUGAAAGCCUCUCUUCUUUCGGUUGCUUUCUUCUCUUCGAUUUUAAGGUAAGAAAUUCCGAUUUCUUGCUACAAUUAAAUGGCAUCAAUAGUAUUAAAAUGGUUUUCAGAAUUUCUUAAAAGAUUGGGAGUGAUUUCGAAAAUUUAGGGCUUUUUGGGAAAAAAUGGAAAAGAAGUGUUUCUUGUAAAUUUCUAGUUCUUGCAUGCAUCAUCUAUGUUGGUAGUGAGUAGAUACAAGUUUUAUUGGCCAAAAGCAUUGAAAAUUUCGGAUUACAAAAAGGGGUUUCAAGAAAAAUGAAUUUUUGAACUUUUAUGUAGUUGCAUGUGUAAAUCUAUAGAUUUUUGGGUCAAAUUUGUAAUUUUUGAGAAGUCAGUCCUAAAUGUUUUGUUUCAAAACUGUUUUCCAGCAUUUAUUGAACAAAAAUUUCUGAUUUAAAGAAGUUUUGCAAGAAAAAAAAAUGAUUUUUGAACUUCUAAUGGUCUUGCAUGUGUAGAUCUAGAGAUUUUGGGGUAAAAUAUGUAAUUUUUGAAAUUUCUGCAUAAAGUAACUUUUCAACUUCGAUUUCUGCAAUCUAAUAGAGUAAAAUUUCAGAUUGUUAAGGGUUUUUCAUGAAGAAGUGGAUUUUGAACUUUUAGUGUGAUUGCAUGUGUAAAUCUUGAAACUUUUUGGGUCAAAACUGCAAUUUCCAAAAAAUCUCUCAUUUUUAAAGUUUGGAUCUGUUUUCCAGCAAGUAUUAAAUGGGGAAAAAGUUUUCUUUGCAAAGUUUUCAAAGUAAUUAAGGUCACAUGAGAGUUUUGGAUUUUUAAAAGAAAAAUGGAAUUUUCUAGUUUUUAAUUUCAAUAAAAUUCGAAACUUUGUGAAAAUUUAAAAUAAUUUCAGAAUCUGAAAUUUGGGUCAGUUAGGAGUUCUAGGAUUUAAUUUGGGAAUGGUUGGAAUUAGUUUGCUAUUAUUUCGAAAUUAGGACAUUUUGCAUGUCAUUUAUUUUGUUUUGUGCCUUUACUUUCAUGUCUUUGAUUAAAUAACUAUGAGUGAUGAGAAUUGAGAUUUUGUACUUUUAAUUGCUGCCUGGAUGUGGAUUAAUUGCUGUGAGAAUUUAUUGGAAUGAAUUAUUACCUAGAAGUGGUAAUAAGUACGUUAAAUGAAAGAUGAGAAAGGGGUGCAUGGUUUGAAUGUUAAAUGGUGAUGUUUUAAUGUGUUGGCUGCAUGUGUGUGUCCUGAUUGUGCAUGUGGUGUGUGCCGUGUGUGGUUGUGUGUUAUAUGUGUGAAUUUGGGGAUUUUUGCCCAAACUAUAACUAUGUGGUGAAUUGUGAUAUUUGUGGCACUUGAUUGAUAUUUGUGAUGUUACGUGUGGGUCAUAAGCAUAAUUUUGAAAAGAUGCAUUUCACGGUUUUUUAAAUUGGAAGAUUAAUGGAAUACCGGGUAAUAAACAACUCGGAUAUAGAGGGCCGGUAUCCAACUAGGAUGAAAUGAUGUGGUUUGAUCCCACUUAGUGAAAACGGGCUCGUAACAAGUUUAUUAUUCUGGUACAUAAAUUAAUCUUUCACGGAUCCGAUAAAACGAAAAAUGUGUUUUUCACGAUUUUCAUAAAAAGGGCAUUUUAGACAUUUUGCAUAAGUACGUGAUCAUGUGCGAUUAUAUGUUUUCGUGAGUUAUGUGAUUGUACCGAUUGUCUUGUGUUGUUUUGGAAUGUGGGUAAGAAUGGAUAUAUAAUAUUAUAUAUUAUGUAUAACGUAUUUUCAAAGUUCGAUAUUUCAUCGGAUUUCUUACUGAGCUUUAUAGCUCAUAUAGAUGUCUUUUAAUUGCAGGUAAUAGUGCUAGUAACCCUCAACCGGGAUGGAUCGAGUAGCGGAUCGAGGUCUUGCCCGGGUUUUUGUUGGAAGUUGUACGAGGACCUAUGAACGAUGCUAAAGUCUUUUGGUUAUUUUCUUUUGGUGAUGUAAUAUUAAACCUCCGUAUUUUUCCUUUUCGUUUCUUUUGAACUCAAAAACCGGUAUGGAUCAUACUCAAGUUUUAUUAUAAAAUAGUCCGUUUAUUAAUUUCGUCAUUCCCACGCCUCAAUUAGUAAUUUUGGAAUUAUUCACCAAAAUACCCUUUCCAAACUCUGAUUUCGUUUCGAACCAAAAAC